RNAcentral lists this ribosomal RNA (392 nucleotides) under uncultured bacterium. Its description in RNAcentral is "partial 16S ribosomal RNA". It matches the Rfam family "Bacterial small subunit ribosomal RNA", at positions 523 to 918 of the family's 1533-position model. The record is from RNAcentral.
AUACGGAGGAUCCGAGCGUUAUCCGGAUUUAUUGGGUUUAAAGGGUGCGCAGGCGGCCAUUUAAGUCAGCGGUUAAAUCGUGGGGCUCAACCCCAUUCUGCCGUUGAUACUGGGUGGCUUGAUUGCGGUCGAGGUUGGCGGAAUUCGUUGUGUAGCGGUGAAAUGCAUAGAUAUGACGAAGGACACCGAUUGCGUAGGCAGCUGACCAGACCGCAAAUGACGCUCAUGCACGAAAGUGCGGGGAUCGAACAGGACUAGAUACCCUGGUAGUCCGCACAGUAAACGAUGAAUACUUGUUUUCGGCGAUAUAAUGUCGGAGGCAAAGCGAAAGCGAUAAGUAUUCCACCUGGGGAGUACGCCGGCAACGGUGAAACUCAAAUGAAUUGACGGGG